UCUGAUUGAUUGGUGCUAAGCAAGCAUGUGAGCCUGGACAAAAUUUCCCCCCAUUGACUGUAGAGCUUGUGGAUCUUAUAAACCUUGCGCUCCUCAAGCUUCCAUCUGAGGGUGCCCGACAGAUGCUCUGUAGGGUUUAAGUUUGGUGACAGUGUAUGCCAGCUGGCCUUUACCUUCAGUUUUUGUUACCAUGUUGGAAUACUGUCUUGGUAUCAUCAGAGCAUAAAACAUUGUUCCCAUAAUCCAUGUCUUAAUCCAUGUUUAUCUUCAACUAUGCUUUCUUGUGCAUCAUCAUUAAAAGAGGCUUCCUUGGGGGACGACAGCCAUGCUUGAUCAGUUUGAUACAUUGUAUUGUAUGGUCUGAGCACAAAGAGGCUGACAAGACCACCUGGAUAUGAUGCUGAGCAUGCCUGUUCUGAGCAGAAGCGGUCCUGUUAAACCUACUGUGCUACUUUGAACUUCCAGUGAGCAGCAUGAGAGAGUGUUAAAAGGAUACCAUCAAAUUUAACACACCAUCUCCCCGUAACCCGAGACCUUGUAAAACUAACAUGUCACAUGAAAAUGACACAUUUGGACCUAUUCACUUUGGCGUGUACACUGACUACUUGUAGCAAAGUGUUAUUUUCUUAAAGUUUAUCCUAUAAAAAUUGUUUAAAAAAAAAAGUGACAGUCUACAGUACAGAAUAUAAAAUGUUAUAAAUAAAAUUCCCAUUUUAAAUGUAAUCACAGCCGACAUGUUAAGUCAACCGCUGUCACAAAAUAUGCAUUCUGAAUUUGAGCAGCAAUUCACACAUGAAGCAACACACCUGAAUAGCCUACAGUGCCCACGCAACAUCACGCAUGCUGCUUGUCCUGUCUGGGCCUGCUGCACAGGCUCACCAGUAGCCACUUUAGGCCCAGUGAAGUUCAUGAUGAAUGUCAACGCACAAGCUGUCAUUUUUUUUCUUGUCCGGAUCUGACUGUACAAGGAAAAAACUCGUCUGCUUUCUAAAAUUGCAAGCAGGCAUGUUUGAUGUGUUAUAGUCACUGUUGCAAACGUUUUAUGAAGAAAGAAAUUAAUGGGGUA
Molecule: long non-coding RNA, 1066 nt
Organism: Syngnathus acus (greater pipefish)
Lineage: Eukaryota; Metazoa; Chordata; Actinopteri; Syngnathiformes; Syngnathidae
Exons: 2
Source: RefSeq, a predicted model, not a curated record